UCCCUGGUGGUCCAGUGGUCAAGACUCCGCAUUUCCAAUGCAAGGGACACAGGUUCAAUCCCUGGCCAGGGAA
Molecule: non-coding RNA, 73 nt
Organism: Cervus elaphus (red deer)
Lineage: Eukaryota; Metazoa; Chordata; Mammalia; Artiodactyla; Cervidae
Source: the annotation of a RefSeq genome assembly